CACACGACUCUCGGCAACGGAUAUCUCGGCUCUCGCAUCGAUGAAGAACGUAGCGAAAUGCGAUACCUGGUGCGAAUUGCAGAAUCCCGCGAACCAUCGAGUCUUUGAACGCAAGUUGCGCCCGAGGCCACUCGGCUGAGGGCACGCCUGCCUGGGCGUCACGC
RNAcentral lists this ribosomal RNA (164 nucleotides) under Thinopyrum intermedium. Its description in RNAcentral is "5.8S ribosomal RNA". It matches the Rfam family "5.8S ribosomal RNA". Rfam says of the family: 5.8S ribosomal RNA (5.8S rRNA) is a component of the large subunit of the eukaryotic ribosome. The record is from RNAcentral. Lineage: Eukaryota; Viridiplantae; Streptophyta; Magnoliopsida; Poales; Poaceae.